RNAcentral lists this small nucleolar RNA (70 nucleotides) under Anopheles stephensi (Asian malaria mosquito). The record is from RNAcentral. Lineage: Eukaryota; Metazoa; Arthropoda; Insecta; Diptera; Culicidae.
CUUAUUCUGAUGUACCUUAUUACCGCCCCAGUCUGAAUAUUUCAGUUGAAUGGUUAUUUUCUGAAUUUAA